RNAcentral lists this ribosomal RNA (698 nucleotides) under uncultured bacterium. RNAcentral describes it as "bacterial SSU rRNA". It matches the Rfam family "Bacterial small subunit ribosomal RNA", at positions 135 to 819 of the family's 1533-position model. The record is from RNAcentral.
AGUCUAGGAUACCACUUGGAAACAGGUGCUAAUACCGGAUAAGAAAGCAGAUCGCAUGAUCAGCUUUUAAAAGGCGGCGUAAGCUGUCGCUAUGGGAUGGCCCCGCGGUGCAUUAGCUAGUUGGUAAGGUAAAGGCUUACCAAGGCGAUGAUGCAUAGCCGAGUUGAGAGACUGAUCGGCCACAUUGGGACUGAGACACGGCCCAAACUCCUACGGGAGGCAGCAGUAGGGAAUCUUCCACAAUGGACGCAAGUCUGAUGGAGCAACGCCGCGUGAGUGAAGAAGGUUUUCGGAUCGUAAAGCUCUGUUGUUGGUGAAGAAGGAUAGAGGUAGUAACUGGCCUUUAUUUGACGGUAAUCAACCAGAAAGUCACGGCUAACUACGUGCCAGCAGCCGCGGUAAUACGUAGGUGGCAAGCGUUGUCCGGAUUUAUUGGGCGUAAAGCGAGCGCAGGCGGAAGAAUAAGUCUGAUGUGAAAGCCCUCGGCUUAACCGAGGAACUGCAUCGGAAACUGUUUUUCUUGAGUGCAGAAAAGGAGAGUGGAACUCCAUGUGUAGCGGUGGAAUGCGUAGAUAUAUGGAAGAACACCAGUGGCGAAGGCGGCUCUCUGGUCUGCAACUGACGCUGAGGCUCGAAAGCAUGGGUAGCGAACAGGAUUAGAUACCCUGGUAGUCCAUGCCGUAAACGAUGAGUGCUAA